RNA transcript from Brachypodium distachyon (stiff brome), 2084 nucleotides. It is a transcript of the gene named BTB/POZ domain and ankyrin repeat-containing protein NPR1, with no coding region annotated. The transcript has 5 exons. NCBI's taxonomy places the organism in Eukaryota, Viridiplantae, Streptophyta, Magnoliopsida, Poales, Poaceae. The record is from RefSeq and is a predicted model, not a curated record.
UCGGCCCUUGGACUUCCUCGCGCCUUCCCCCACACCCCGGAACCGGAAGCCCAACUGGCAACCAAAGCCCCUCCUCCGCCUCCUCUCUCGAGACUCGAGUCGCGCGCGGGCGCCGCCAAACGCCAAUGGAGGCUCCCCUGACCAGCCACGUGACCACCGCCUUCUCCGACUGCGACAGCGCGCCCAUGGAGAUGGAGGACGACGCGGCGGCGGCGGCGGCGGACGCGGCCGACGUGGAGGCGCUCCGCCGCCUCUCCGACAACCUGGCCGCCGCCUUCCGCUCGCCGGACCGCUUCGCCUUCCUCACCGACGCGCGCCUCGUCGCGUGCCCGGGCGCCCCCGAGCUGCGCGUGCACCGCUGCGUGCUCUCCGCGCGGAGCCCCUUCCUGCGCGCCUUCUUCGCGCGCCGCGCCGCCGCGGAGGGCGGCGUCGGCGACCGGGUGGAGCUCCGGGAGCUGCUGGGUGACGAGGUGGAGGUCGGCCAUGAGGCGCUGGUUCUGGUGCUCGAGUACCUGUACAGCGGCCGCGUCCGCGAGCCCCCCAAGUCGGCCUUCUUCUGCGUCGACGAGGACGGCUGCGCGCACGUCGGGUGCCGCCCAGCCGUCUCCUUCAUGGCGCAAGUCCUCUUCGCCGCCUCCGUCUUCCAGGUCGCUGAGCUCGCCAACCUCUUCCAGCGGCAUCUCCUUGAUGUCCUUGAUAAGGUUGAAGUGGAUAACCUUCCAUUGAUCUUAUCUGUUGCAAGCUUAUGUAGUAAAUCUUGCAUGAAACUGCUUGAGAGAUGCCUAGAGAUUGUAGUUCAGUCAAAUCUUGACAUGAUUACUCUUGAGAAAACUGUGCCUCAAGAUGUUAUGAAGCAAAUUAUUGAUUCACGGCUGAGUCUUGGAUUAGUUUCACCGGAAGACAAUGGCUUUCCUAACAAACAUGUAAGGAGGAUACACAGAGCUCUUGAUUCUGAUGAUGUGGAGCUAGUGAGGAUGUUGCUCAAGGAAGGGCAGACUAAUCUUGAUGAUGCAUUUGCAUUGCACUAUGCUGUAGAACAUUGUGACUCAAAAAUUACGACAGAACUUCUGGACAUCGCACUUGCAGAUGUUAAUCAUAGAAACCCAAGAGGUUAUACUGUUCUUCACAUCGCUGCUAGGCGAAGAGAUCCUAAAAUCGUUGUCUCUCUUUUAACCAAAGGGGCUCGGCCUUCGGAUGUUACAUCUGAUGGAAGAAAAGCAGUUCAGAUCUCAAAGAGACUCACAAAACAUGGUGAUUACUUUGGGGUUACUGAAGAAGGGAAGCCGUCUCCGAAAGAUAGGCUAUGUAUUGAGAUACUGGAGCAAGCUGAAAGAAGGGAUCCACAACUUGGAGAAGCAUCGGUUUCUCUUGCAAUGGCUGGUGAUUGUCUACGUGGAAAAUUAUUGUACCUCGAAAACCGAGUUGCCUUGGCGAGGAUAUUGUUUCCUAUUGAGGCAAGAGUGGCAAUGGACAUUGCUCAAGUGGAUGGAACUUUGGAAUUCACCCUUGGUUCUAGUGCAAAUCAACUUCCAGAGAUACCACGGGCAACCGUUGAUCUAAAUGAAACUCCUUUUAAAAUGAAGGAUGAACACUUGGCUCGGAUGACAGCCCUCUCCAAAACAGUUGAACUCGGUAAACGCUUCUUUCCGCGCUGUUCAAAAGUGCUGGACACGAUCAUGGAUGAUGAAACUGAGGCUACCGAGUUGGCUUCCCUCGGACGGGAUAAUACAUCCACAGAGAGGAAGAGGAGAUUCCAUGACCUGCAAGACGUGCUUCAGAAGGCAUUCAGCGAGGACAAGGAGGAGUUUGCCCGGUCGGCCCUUUCGUCUUCCUCAUCAUCGGCGACGUCGAUCGGAGGAGUCCGCCCUAGGAGAUGAGCACCUUGCCCCUCCUCAUUCUUGCUGUAUUGUUGCCGCCCUAUUGGUCGCAUAGUAAUGCUCAUUUUUGCUUGUACAGUAACAGUAGUCCGUAGUCUCCUUGGCAGCUUUCCUUUAGUGGAGUAAUGCUCGAGCAGUUGUUGGCCUGAGGUGAACACUAGUACUACUGUAGUAUUAAUCUCUGAAGCAUCUUGGUCUGAGAAAAAA